This 1349-nucleotide ribosomal RNA is filed under the name metagenome. RNAcentral's name for it is "bacterial LSU rRNA". It matches the Rfam family "Bacterial large subunit ribosomal RNA", at positions 1564 to 2925 of the family's 2925-position model. The record is from RNAcentral.
UGAGUACGAGCUGCUACGGCAGCGAAGUGGGUGACGUCAAGCUUCCAAGAAAAGCCCUAUACCCGUUAAGGCAUGAUGGCCUGUACCCGAAACCGACACAGGUAGGAUGGUAGAGAAUACCGAGGGGCGCGAGGUAACUCUCUCUAAGGAACUCGGCAAAAUGGCCCCGUAACUUCGGGAGAAGGGGUGCCACCGCAAGGUGGUCGCAGUGAAGAGGCCCAGGCGACUGUUUACCAAAAACACAGGUCUCCGCUAAGUCGCAAGACGAUGUAUGGGGGCUGACGCCUGCCCAGUGCCGGAAGGUUAAGGAAGCUGGUCAGCGUAAGCGAAGCUAGCGACUGAAGCCCCGGUGAACGGCGGCCGUAACAAUAACGGUCCUAAGGUAGCGAAAUUCCUUGUCGGGUAAGUUCCGACCCGCACGAAAGGCGUAACGAUCUGGGCGCUGUCUCGGAGAGAGGCUCGGCGAAAUAGAAUUGUCUGUGAAGAUGCGGACUACGUGCACCCGGACAGAAAGACCCUAUGAAGCUUUACUGUAGCUUGGUAUUGUGCCCGGGCUCUGAAUGCGCAGGAUAGGUGGGAGGCUUUGAUCAACAGCUUGCGGGUUGUUGUGAGCCAACGGUGAGAUACCACUCUUUCAGAGCUAGGGUUCUAACGGUCACCCGUUAUCCGGGGACCGGACAGUAUCAGGUGGGCAGUUUGACUGGGGCGGUCGCCUCCUAAAAGGUAACGGAGGCGCGCAAAGGUUUGCUCAGGCUGGUUGGAAAUCAGCCGACGAGUGUAAAAGCAGAAGCAAGCUUGACUGUGAGACCUACAAGUCGAACAGGGACGAAAGUCGGCUUUAGUGAUCCGACGGUUCUGAGUGGAAGGGCCGUCGCUCAACGGAUAAAAGUUACUCUAGGAUAACAGGCUGAUCUCCCCCAAGAGUUCACAUCGACGGGGAGGUUUGGCACCUCGAUGUCGGCUCAUCGCAACCUGGGGCUGAAGUCGGUCCCAAGGGUUGGGCUGUUCGCCCAUUAAAGCGGUACGCGAGCUGGGUUCAGAACGUCGUGAGACAGUUCGGUCCAUAUCCGGUGCAUGCGCAGGAAUAUUGAGAGGAGUUCUCCCUAGUACGAGAGGACCGGGAGGAACGCACCUCUGGUGUACCAGUUAUCGUGCCAACGGUAAACGCUGGGUAGCCAUGUGCGGAGAGGAUAACCGCUGAAAGCAUCUAAGUGGGAAGCCCACCUCAAGAUGAGUAUUCCCAUGGCAUAAGCCAGUAAGGUCACGGGAAGAACACCCGUUGAUAGGCUCUACGUGGAAGCGCAGUAAUGCGUGAAGCGGAGGAGUACUAAUAGACCGAGGGCUUGACC